This 400-nucleotide ribosomal RNA is filed under the name uncultured bacterium. RNAcentral's name for it is "bacterial SSU rRNA". It matches the Rfam family "Bacterial small subunit ribosomal RNA", at positions 355 to 747 of the family's 1533-position model. The record is from RNAcentral.
UCGAGGAUCUUUAGCAAUGGGCGCAAGCCUGACUAUGCGACGCCGCGUGAGGGAUGAAGUAUUUCGGUACGUAAACCUCUUUCGAUGGGAAAGAAAUCCUUGAUGUGAAUAAUGUCAAGGGCUGACGGUACCCAGAGAAGAAGCCACGGCCAACUCCGUGCCAGCAGCCGCGGUAAUACGGGGGUGGCGAGCGUUACUCGGAUUUAUUGGGUGUAAAGGGCAGGUAGGCGUUUUGCCAAGUUAGAAGUGAAAUCCUUUGGCUUAACCAAAGAACUGCUUCUAAAACUGGCAGAAUUGAGGCUGGAAGAGGAGAGCGGAAUUCUCGGUGUAAGGGUGAAAUCUGUAGAUAUCGAGAGGAACACCAGUGGCGAAAGCGGCUCUCUGGUCUAGCCCUGACGCU